GCCAGGUGUGGUGGUGGGCACCUGUAAUCCCAGCUACUCGGGAGGCUGAGGCAGGAGAAUUGCUUGCGCCUGGGAAGUGGAGGUUGCAGUGAUCCACGAUUGAGCCACUGCGCUCCCACCUGGGUGACAGAGCGAGACCCUGUCUCCA
This 148-nucleotide non-coding RNA is filed under the name Chlorocebus sabaeus (green monkey). Lineage: Eukaryota; Metazoa; Chordata; Mammalia; Primates; Cercopithecidae. The record is from Rfam by way of RNAcentral.